This 1533-nucleotide ribosomal RNA is filed under the name Klebsiella pneumoniae. RNAcentral's name for it is "bacterial SSU rRNA". It matches the Rfam family "Bacterial small subunit ribosomal RNA". Lineage: Bacteria; Pseudomonadati; Pseudomonadota; Gammaproteobacteria; Enterobacterales; Enterobacteriaceae. The record is from RNAcentral.
UUGAAGAGUUUGAUCAUGGCUCAGAUUGAACGCUGGCGGCAGGCCUAACACAUGCAAGUCGAGCGGUAGCACAGAGAGCUUGCUCUCGGGUGACGAGCGGCGGACGGGUGAGUAAUGUCUGGGAAACUGCCUGAUGGAGGGGGAUAACUACUGGAAACGGUAGCUAAUACCGCAUAACGUCGCAAGACCAAAGUGGGGGACCUUCGGGCCUCAUGCCAUCAGAUGUGCCCAGAUGGGAUUAGCUAGUAGGUGGGGUAACGGCUCACCUAGGCGACGAUCCCUAGCUGGUCUGAGAGGAUGACCAGCCACACUGGAACUGAGACACGGUCCAGACUCCUACGGGAGGCAGCAGUGGGGAAUAUUGCACAAUGGGCGCAAGCCUGAUGCAGCCAUGCCGCGUGUGUGAAGAAGGCCUUCGGGUUGUAAAGCACUUUCAGCGGGGAGGAAGGCGUUAAGGUUAAUAACCUUGGCGAUUGACGUUACCCGCAGAAGAAGCACCGGCUAACUCCGUGCCAGCAGCCGCGGUAAUACGGAGGGUGCAAGCGUUAAUCGGAAUUACUGGGCGUAAAGCGCACGCAGGCGGUCUGUCAAGUCGGAUGUGAAAUCCCCGGGCUCAACCUGGGAACUGCAUUCGAAACUGGCAGGCUAGAGUCUUGUAGAGGGGGGUAGAAUUCCAGGUGUAGCGGUGAAAUGCGUAGAGAUCUGGAGGAAUACCGGUGGCGAAGGCGGCCCCCUGGACAAAGACUGACGCUCAGGUGCGAAAGCGUGGGGAGCAAACAGGAUUAGAUACCCUGGUAGUCCACGCCGUAAACGAUGUCGAUUUGGAGGUUGUGCCCUUGAGGCGUGGCUUCCGGAGCUAACGCGUUAAAUCGACCGCCUGGGGAGUACGGCCGCAAGGUUAAAACUCAAAUGAAUUGACGGGGGCCCGCACAAGCGGUGGAGCAUGUGGUUUAAUUCGAUGCAACGCGAAGAACCUUACCUGGUCUUGACAUCCACAGAACUUUCCAGAGAUGGAUUGGUGCCUUCGGGAACUGUGAGACAGGUGCUGCAUGGCUGUCGUCAGCUCGUGUUGUGAAAUGUUGGGUUAAGUCCCGCAACGAGCGCAACCCUUAUCCUUUGUUGCCAGCGGUUAGGCCGGGAACUCAAAGGAGACUGCCAGUGAUAAACUGGAGGAAGGUGGGGAUGACGUCAAGUCAUCAUGGCCCUUACGACCGGGCUACACGUGCUACAAUGGCAUAUACAAAGAGAAGCGACCUCGCGAGAGCAAGCGGACCUCAUAAAGUAUGUCGUAGUCCGGAUUGGAGUCUGCAACUCGACUCCAUGAAGUCGGAAUCGCUAGUAAUCGUAGAUCAGAAUGCUACGGUGAAUACGUUCCCGGGCCUUGUACACACCGCCCGUCACACCAUGGGAGUGGGUUGCAAAAGAAGUAGGUAGCUUAACCUUCGGGAGGGCGCUUACCACUUUGUGAUUCAUGACUGGGGUGAAGUCGUAACAAGGUAACCGUAGGGGAACCUGCGGUUGGAUCACCUCCUU